AGUUCGAUCAUGGCUCAGAUUGAACGCUGGCGGGAUGCUUUACACAUGCAAGUCGAACGGCAGCACGGACUUCGGUCUGGUGGCGAGUGGCGAACAGGUGAGUAAUGUAUCGGAACGUGCCUAGUAGCGGGGGAUAACUACGCAGCGUAGCUAAUACCGCAUACGCCCUUCGGGGGAAAGCGGGGGACCUUCGGGCCUCGCACUAUUAGAAGCGGCCGAUAUCGGAUUGGCUAGUUGGUGGGGUAACGGCUCACCAAGGCGACGAUCCGUAG
Molecule: unclassified non-coding RNA, 272 nt
Filed under: uncultured Bordetella sp.
Lineage: Bacteria; Pseudomonadati; Pseudomonadota; Betaproteobacteria; Burkholderiales; Alcaligenaceae
Description: partial 16S-23S ribosomal RNA intergenic spacer
Rfam family: Bacterial small subunit ribosomal RNA
Source: RNAcentral